RNAcentral lists this ribosomal RNA (410 nucleotides) under uncultured microorganism. RNAcentral describes it as "bacterial SSU rRNA". It matches the Rfam family "Bacterial small subunit ribosomal RNA", at positions 509 to 917 of the family's 1533-position model. The record is from RNAcentral.
CAGCAGCCGCAGUAAUACGUAGGGUGCGAGCGUUAAUCGGAUUUACUGGGCGUAAAGCGUGCGCAGGCGGCCCGUUAAGACAGGUGUGAAAUCCCUGGGCUCAACCUAGGAAUUGCGCUUGUGACUGGCGGGCUCGAGUACGGUAGAGGGGGGUGGAAUUCCUGGUGUAGCAGUGAAAUGCGUAGAGAUCAGGAGGAACACCGAUGGCGAAGGCAGCCCCCUGGGCCUGUACUGACGCUCAUGCACGAAAGCGUGGGGAGCAAACAGGAUUAGAUACCCUGGUAGUCCACGCCCUAAACGAUGGGUACUAGCCGUUUGGUGCAUUGAAGCGCUGAGUGGCGAAGCUAACGCGUGAAGUACCCCGCCUGGGGAGUACGGCCGCAAGGUUGAAACUUAAAGGAAUUGGCGGG